AUUGAACGCUGGCGGAAUGCUUUACACAUGCAAGUCGAACGGUAGAGGGGGCAACCCCUUGAGAGUGGCGAACGGGUGAGUAAUAUAUCGGAACGUGCCCAGUCGUGGGGAUAACGUAGCGAAAGCUACGCUAAUACCGCAUACGAUCUAUGGAUGAAAGCGGGGGAUCGCAAGACCUCGCGCGAUUGGAGCGGCCGAUAUCAGAUUAGGUAGUUGGUGAGGUAAAGGCUCACCAAGCCGACGAUCUGUAGCUGGUCUGAGAGGACGACCAGCCACACUGGGACUGAGACACGGCCCAGACUCCUACGGGAGGCAGCAGUGGGGAAUUUUGGGACAAUGGGCGCAAGCCUGAUCCAGCCAUGCCGCGUGCAGGAUGACGGUCCUAUGGAUUGUAAACUGCUUUUGUACAGGAAGAAACACUAGGUUCGUGAACCAGCUGACGGUACUGUAAGAAUAAGGAUACGGCUAACUACGUGCCAGCA
This 482-nucleotide ribosomal RNA is filed under the name uncultured bacterium. RNAcentral's name for it is "bacterial SSU rRNA". It matches the Rfam family "Bacterial small subunit ribosomal RNA", at positions 30 to 513 of the family's 1533-position model. The record is from RNAcentral.